CAUCCAGCUGUUUUGGUAGAAGAGAAUCACUAGAGCAUGUCCCCAACCAUUGGCAUAAACAAAAUGAUGAUCGUGAAGCUCCAUAAGUCACAGUCAAGAAUGCAUAACCAGUAUAGACCAAAGAUUUUUAUCCAUAUCCAGCAGAUACGAGUUGAAAUACAUGCAAGAUUGCGCUUCUUCAGGAAUACUACCCAUCUCAACAUCAAGAAUUGGAGAAACUAGUUGGUGCCCAAGGUUGCAUUAGUGAUUUAUUCGUCAACGACAUGAUUACUUCUUGAUAAGCUUGCUUAUUCAAAGGUCAAUCAAGCACAUCAAGAUCAAUUGACGAGAGUGACUUGUUACUUCAUUUUCUGGACUGGUCACGAGGUGCUGCAUGAUUAGGCUUCAUUGCGAACUCAUAAGGAUUCAAAAGAUGGAACGGUAAAUUGGUGGUUGGUGGACAGCUAGAGAAUUUGAGAUGUAAUUAUUGCAAUAGCAGUGGGUUGCUCUGACCAAUAGUGAAAAAGGGCAUAGUUUUUUUUAAUAAAAAAAUAAAUAUCCUGUUCUUCUAGGUAAGUUGCUUUUUUCCCCAUUUUAUGGGGCUUCUAGGAGCAGUUUAGGAUUCAUCAAGUGAUAAGAAGAGAAACUUUUUAGAUGUGUUUGCAAUUCUUCUUCUUCUUCUUUUAAUUGACUUAGCCUGUAAAUUUAGAAAAGUGAAUAAAUAUAGUUAUGUCUGAGAGCCUGCCUUUGCUUAAGUGGCAAGUGUGUUAUUCAUUGCCAGUUCUAGGAGACCUUUAUUUAGUUGAAAUAACCAGCCUUGCGUCCUUAGAUUUUUUUAUUUAACAGUGAUGAUUGAUGAAGCUUUAAUGUCACUAGGUUGUGAAGCUUGGCUGGUUUUCAUGCAGCAAAACGAGGAUUAUUCUAAUAAGCUGAAUUAUUGUCAUUAGAGGACAUGCGGUUCUUUGAGGUGCUGAUCUUCAGUGUUGAUUUGGCUGAAAGAAUGGAGCAUGUUGGUGGCGGAGAAAAGGCUACUGAUGUAACAGACACAAGCAUUCGAGGAGCUGUUCCUUGCGAGUUUUAAUGAAAACCUGUACAGACACAAAUAAUACCACCUUAUUGCGAAUUCCUUAUGCUACGUAUACAUAUACAGCGCAACCUUUCACUGACUUGGAUAUAUAAAAGAUUUAGAACCUUGAAAAUCCCCUUUAAGUUUUUGAUUACUCAGUAUGUUUGCCAAUAUGACUUAUGACUUGUGUUGAAUAUGUUGUAGCUAUGGAUCAAACUUUAUGGUGCUCUUAUUGAUGUUUUUCAGUGGAUGCAAAUGUUUCAUAUCUUGAUGGUUUCUUGUAAGUAAUUGCUUUUCAGUUAUAUGUUCUGGUAUGUUUCUUUACAUAAGGUGAGGGAUGGUUGAAAUUGUAGUCAUCUGGUUUCAGUCAUUGAUGACCAGCUUCUGUACUAAAUUUUAAAUACAGAGUCCAUUUUGAAAUUUUGUUGUUUCUUUCUUGGCAGUCAAUGUCACAAAGCUUACAUAAUUUAGUCAAGCAUUGAUCAAAUUUUUGGGAUUAUUUGUGUACUCUAUCUGGCUAAUGCCAGAACCAAGCUCAGAUAAAAGAGGUUGAUGUUGUUGUUAUGUUGAUAACCAAUUUCAAUAUUUGUGAAUGCCAGGAUGUUUACUACAAGAUAAUAUCAGAAGUCAUCUUAAAUAAGAAUGCUUGGCAUAUGAGGAUCCAUAAAGCCGAUUAAAAAUAGUUCGGACAAGGCUGGAUGCUUAUGAUUACUUAUCCCUGGCUAAUGUCAUUUUUUUGGGUUCAUCAAGCAUUUACUAGUAAUCAUCCAUUAUCUCUACACCAACUCUGUGUCUGUCUUGGUUACAUCGAGUUUUUGUUGAACUUUGAUGGUCAUCAACUCCAAUUUUUUUUUCACAGAAACGAUGCAUCAGUGUUUUAUCAUGAUUGCAUAUGUUUUAACAGCUAACCUUUUAGGAUAUGGUGAGGUAGAAGUUUGAUCCCUCCCAACUCCUUGCACUUCUCCAUUGGACUAAAGGCUUGCUUUCGAUGAA
Molecule: non-coding RNA, 2038 nt
Organism: Phoenix dactylifera (date palm)
Lineage: Eukaryota; Viridiplantae; Streptophyta; Magnoliopsida; Arecales; Arecaceae
Source: RefSeq, a predicted model, not a curated record